This 986-nucleotide long non-coding RNA is filed under the name Salmo salar (Atlantic salmon). RNAcentral's name for it is "lncRNA (ENSSSAG00000097567.1)". The record is from RNAcentral. Lineage: Eukaryota; Metazoa; Chordata; Actinopteri; Salmoniformes; Salmonidae.
GUUACUCUCAUGCUACAGUAGGUUACUCUCCCAUGCUACAGUAGGUUACUCUCCCAUGCUACAGUAGGUUACUCUCUCCCAUGCUACUGUAGGUUACUCUCCCAUGCUACUGUAGGUUACUCUCUCAUGCUACUGUAGGUUACUCUCCCAUGCUACUGUAGGUUACUCUCCCAUGCUACAGUAGGUUACUCUCCCAUAUGACUGUAGGUUACUCUCCCAUGCUACUGUAGGUUACUCUCCCAAGCUACUGUAGGUUACUCUCCCAUAUGACUGUAGGUUACUCUCCCAUGCUACUGUAGGUUACUCUCCCAAGCUACUGUAGGUUACUCUCCCAUGCUACUGUAGGUUACUCUCCCAUGCUACUGUAGGUUACUCUCCCAUGCUACUGUAGGUUACUCUCCCAAGCUACUGUAGGUUACUCUCCCAUGCUACUGUAGGUUACUCUCCCAUGCUACUGUAGGAUAAUAUCUGGAUUGUUUCAUAAUAACUCUUGUCUGGUGUGGGAUGUGCAGUUCCGGAGUGCAGAGAAUAACUUGUACUGAUGUGGAUUGGAGCAAACAAACCAUCUACAUAGUGGUGAUGUGUACGUUUUAGAUUAUAUUAUUACUAUUAUUUUACUAAGGUUGUAUAUGUUUUACAUUAUAUUAUUACUAUCAUUUUAUUAAGGUUGUGUUCGUUUCACAUUAUAUUAUUACUAUUAUUUUAUUAAGGUUGUGUAUGUUUUACAUUAUAUUAUUACUAUCAUUUUAUUAAGGUUGUGUAUGUUUUACAUUAUAUUAUUACUAUCAUUUUAUUAAGGUUGUGUAUGUUUUUGUAGUAAAGGAAUAUAACGUUCCAGAUUAAAUGUAUCUUUGGAGAAAGUGAAGUGUGUGUGGCUUUUACUUUUUAAGUCUUUUGCUUGAAUAAAAACCACGCUUACAAAUGAAUGAUGAUAACAACCCUUUGCUACUCCAUGUCUUAAAGUAAAGUGUUAUAAGUCACUGUGG